This 301-nucleotide ribosomal RNA is filed under the name uncultured bacterium. RNAcentral describes it as "partial 16S ribosomal RNA". It matches the Rfam family "Bacterial small subunit ribosomal RNA", at positions 509 to 809 of the family's 1533-position model. The record is from RNAcentral.
CAGCAGCCGCGGUAAUACGUAGGUGGCAAGCGUUGUCCGGAAUUAUUGGGCGUAAAGGGCUCGCAGGCGGUUUCUUAAGUCUGAUGUGAAAGCCCCCGGCUCAACCGGGGAGGGUCAUUGGAAACUGGGAAACUUGCGUGCAGAAGAGGAGAGUGGAAUUCCACGUGUAGCGGUGAAAUGCGUAGAGAUGUGGAGGAACACCAGUGGCGAAGGCGACUCUCUGGUCUGUAACUGACGCUGAGGAGCGAAAGCGCGGGGAGCGAACAGGAUUAGAUACCCCUGUAGUCCCUGUCUCUUAUAA